GGAUGCGAUCAUACCAGCACUAAAGCACCGGAUCCCAUCUGAACUCCGAAGUUAUGCGUGCUUGGGCGAGAGUAGUACUAGGAUGGGUGACCUCCUGGGAAGUCCUCGUGUUGCAUUCC
RNAcentral lists this ribosomal RNA (119 nucleotides) under Triticum aestivum (bread wheat). Lineage: Eukaryota; Viridiplantae; Streptophyta; Magnoliopsida; Poales; Poaceae. The record is from RNAcentral.